Molecule: ribosomal RNA, 387 nt
Filed under: uncultured bacterium
Lineage: Bacteria
Description: bacterial SSU rRNA
Rfam family: Bacterial small subunit ribosomal RNA
Source: RNAcentral
AGUCAAUAGAUACCCGGGUAGUCCACGCCGUAAACGAUGAAUACUAGGUGUAGGAGGUAUCGACUCCUUCUGUGCCGCAGUUAAACACAAUAAGUAUUCCGCCUGGGGAGUACGGUCGCAAGAUUAAAACUCAAAGGAAUUGACGGGGGCCCGCACAAGCAGCGGAGCAUGUGGUUUAAUUCGAAGCAACGCGAAGAACCUUACCUAGACUUGACAUCUUCUGCAUUAAUCGUAAUGGAUGAAAUCCCUUCGGGGUACAGAAUGACAGGUGGUGCAUGGUUGUCGUCAGCUCGUGUCGUGAGAUGUUGGGUUAAGUCCCGCAACGAGCGCAACCCCGUAUUAUUAGUUGCUAACAUUAAGUUGAGCACUCUAGUGAGACUGCCCGGG